UAGGGAAUCUUCCACAAUGGACGCAAGUCUGAUGGAGCAACGCCGCGUGAGUGAAGAAGGUUUUCGGAUCGUAAAGCUCUGUUGUUGGUGAAGAAGGAUAGAGGUAGUAACUGGCCUUUAUUUGACGGUAAUCAACCAGAAAGUCACGGCUAACUACGUGCCAGCAGCCGCGGUAAUACGUAGGUGGCAAGCGUUGUCCGGAUUUAUUGGGCGUAAAGCGAGCGCAGGCGGAAGAAUAAGUCUGAUGUGAAAGCCCUCGGCUUAACCGAGGAAUUGCAUCGGAAACUGUUUUCUUGAGUGCAGAAGAGGAGAGUGGAACUCCAUGUGUAGCGGUGGAAUGCGUAGAUAUAUGGAAGAACACCAGUGGCGAAGGCGGCUCUCUGGUCUGCAACUGACGCUGAGGCUCGAAAGCAUGGGUAGCGAACAGGAUUAGAUACCCUGGUAGUCCAUGCCGUAAACGAUGAGUGCUAAGUGUUGGGGAGGUUUUCCGCCUCUCAGUGCUGCAGCUAACGCAUUAAGCACUCCGCCUGGGGGAGUACGACCGCAAGGUUGAAGCUCAAAGUGAAUUGAC
Molecule: ribosomal RNA, 571 nt
Filed under: uncultured bacterium
Lineage: Bacteria
Description: partial 16S ribosomal RNA
Rfam family: Bacterial small subunit ribosomal RNA
Source: RNAcentral